Molecule: non-coding RNA, 24 nt
Filed under: Mus musculus (house mouse)
Lineage: Eukaryota; Metazoa; Chordata; Mammalia; Rodentia; Muridae
Source: RNAcentral
UAGAUAGUCCACCUUAUCACCUGC